GUAGGUGAACCUGCGGAAGGAUCAUUAUCGAGUUAGGGUCUUCUGGGCCCGACCUCCAACCCUAUGUUUAAACUACCACGUUGCUUCGGCGGGCCCGCUUCCCCGGAAGCCGCCGGGAGGUGUCAAAACCUCCGGGCCAGCGCCCGUCAGUAGCCUACAUUAAAUUCUUGACGAACAGUGUUGUCUAAAUUUAAAAAAAGUAAAU
RNAcentral lists this unclassified non-coding RNA (205 nucleotides) under plant metagenome. RNAcentral describes it as "partial contains small subunit ribosomal RNA, internal transcribed spacer 1, and 5.8S ribosomal RNA". The record is from RNAcentral.